GACGAACCGUGCGAACGUUGUUCGGAAUUACUGGGCGUAAAGGGCUCGUAGGCGGCCAACUAAGUCAGACGUGAAAUCCCUCGGCUUAACCGGGGAACUGCGUCUGAUACUGGAUGGCUUGAAUCCGGGAGAGGGAUGCAGAAUUCCAGGUGUAGCGGUGAAAUGCGUAGAUAUCUGGAGGAACACCGGUGGCGAAGGCGGCAUCCUGGACCGGCAUUGACGCUGAGGAGCGAAAGCCAGGGGAGCAAACGGG
Molecule: ribosomal RNA, 253 nt
Filed under: uncultured bacterium
Lineage: Bacteria
Description: partial 16S ribosomal RNA
Rfam family: Bacterial small subunit ribosomal RNA
Source: RNAcentral